AUGGCAUAAACUCGGCCUAAGACUGCUAGUCUAGCUUGUGACUGAGGCUGGGGGCAAUCAUGGAUCUGAUGAUCGGUACUUCCAUAUCUGAGGCAAGCAUUGUUGAGUCGAUAAGACGAGACAUUCCCAUGAUUCUUGCCACAAUGAACAUAACUCUGAUCUUGUCUGGCUGGCAAAGUUUGCAGCGGGGCAGGGUGAGCUACCUUAAGUCUCUUAUUUUGGUGGCUCUGACUUGAGAAUGGGUUUUGGUAGGGGACUGGAGGCUUGGAACUACUUGUUGUUGGUGUAGAGGUCCCAACAAUACUCUCAAUGAGUCGCAUCUUAACCAAACCUGCUAAUAGGUACAAAGCUUAAGUACUAUAAGGGGAUUCCUAAUCUCCGAAUGGAGACCCCACUAAAAUCUUCAGGUCAUCUUCCCUUUAUCAACUACAAUAUCGAGAGAGUAGCAGCUAAGCUCUGUGAAUCUUCUAACAUAAUUAGUGACUGAGAGGCUUCCCUGAGUAAGCUGGUGAACUCUAUCUCCUUUUGAUGACGAAUGUGGUCAGG
RNAcentral lists this long non-coding RNA (546 nucleotides) under Carica papaya (papaya). RNAcentral's name for it is "long non-coding RNA (CPAP_LNC005698)". Lineage: Eukaryota; Viridiplantae; Streptophyta; Magnoliopsida; Brassicales; Caricaceae. The record is from RNAcentral.